This 468-nucleotide ribosomal RNA is filed under the name uncultured bacterium. RNAcentral describes it as "partial 16S ribosomal RNA". It matches the Rfam family "Bacterial small subunit ribosomal RNA", at positions 28 to 507 of the family's 1533-position model. The record is from RNAcentral.
GAUGAACGCUGGCGGCGUGCUUAACACAUGCAAGUCGAACGGAAAGACCCUGCUUUUGUGGGGUGCUCGAGUGCCGCACGGGUGAGUAACACGUGAGUAACCUGCCCUUGACUUUGUGAUAACUCCACGAAACAGGGGCUAAUAUCGGAUAGGAGCUCCUGCUGCAUGGUGGGGAUUGGAAAGAUUCGGCGGUUGGGGAUGGUCUCGAGGGUUAUCCGCUUGUUGGUGAGGUAGUGGCUGACAAAGGCUGUGAAGGGUAGGCGGCCUGAGAGGGUGAACGGGGACAAUGGGACUGAGAGAGGCCGCAGACGGCUACGGGAGGCAGCAGGGGGGAAUAUGGCGCAGUGGGGGGAAGUGUGAUACAAAAACGCUGCGUGCGUGAUGACGUCUUUCGGGGUGUAAACCGCUGUCGCCUGAGACGUAGAGUGAGUGACGGUAAUGGGUAAAGAAGCACCGGCUAACUACGUG